RNAcentral lists this long non-coding RNA (368 nucleotides) under Elaeis guineensis (African oil palm). RNAcentral's name for it is "long non-coding RNA (EGUI_LNC015183)". The record is from RNAcentral. Lineage: Eukaryota; Viridiplantae; Streptophyta; Magnoliopsida; Arecales; Arecaceae.
UGACAUGCAUCCGCGGUCCAACCUUUGCCAUUUAGGUCAUCUGAACCUCUUCAGACUUCUUUCCAGUCGAUGGUGGAGCUUCACUAAGGUUGUCCUGUUUCAUCCUGUCUCUUUAUCAAUUGUGCCAAUGUUCUUUCUUGAGCUCUACAAGUUGCUUCCUAAGGACUAGGCUUCGAUCCCUAUGUGUCAACCCCAGGGAUCUCACAUAUUUAUUAUUUGUAAAUGACCGCUUGCUAAUAGAUCGGACAACCAUCUAAAAUAUUGUCAAUUUCAUAAGAAUCCUAGAGGUUUACCACUUUGCCUUAGGACAGAAGAUGAAUCUCCUCAAAUCAGUUGUUUAUUUUAGUCUGAGGACAAAGGCCCAAUUG